CACGUAGGCACCAAGCGUUAUCCGGAUUUAUUGGGCGUACAGAGCUCGUAGGCGGUUCGGUAAGUCGGGUGUGAAAACUCUGGGCUCAACCCAGAGAGGCCACCCGAUACUGCUGUGACUAGAGUGCGGUAGGGGAGCGGGGAAUUCCUGGUGUAGCGGUGAAAUGCGCAGAUAUCAGGAGGAACACCAGCGGCGAAGGCGCCGCUCUGGGCCGUAACUGACGCUGAGGAGCGAAAGCAUGGGUAGCAAACAGG
RNAcentral lists this ribosomal RNA (254 nucleotides) under uncultured bacterium. RNAcentral's name for it is "partial 16S ribosomal RNA". It matches the Rfam family "Bacterial small subunit ribosomal RNA", at positions 524 to 776 of the family's 1533-position model. The record is from RNAcentral.